UGAUGGCGAGGAUGAUCGAGGGGUUACGUCAGCCGGUGCGGCCGCGGCGCCACGCAGACCCCACGCUUGACGUCAACGCACGCACUGCACGCACCGUCGCGGCGAGGAGAUAGAAGCUGAAGCCGUCA
Molecule: small nucleolar RNA, 128 nt
Filed under: Oryza sativa (Asian cultivated rice)
Lineage: Eukaryota; Viridiplantae; Streptophyta; Magnoliopsida; Poales; Poaceae
Description: Z244 small nucleolar RNA
Source: RNAcentral